This 599-nucleotide ribosomal RNA is filed under the name Trichoderma asperellum. RNAcentral describes it as "eukaryotic LSU rRNA". The stretch from base 223 to 376 matches the Rfam family "5.8S ribosomal RNA". The record is from RNAcentral. Lineage: Eukaryota; Fungi; Ascomycota; Sordariomycetes; Hypocreales; Hypocreaceae.
ACAAGGUCUCCGUUGGUGAACCAGCGGAGGGAUCAUUACCGAGUUUACAACUCCCAAACCCAAUGUGAACGUUACCAAACUGUUGCCUCGGCGGGGUCACGCCCCGGGUGCGUCGCAGCCCCGGAACCAGGCGCCCGCCGGAGGAACCAACCAAACUCUUUCUGUAGUCCCCUCGCGGACGUAUUUCUUUACAGCUCUGAGCAAAAAUUCAAAAUGAAUCAAAACUUUCAACAACGGAUCUCUUGGUUCUGGCAUCGAUGAAGAACGCAGCGAAAUGCGAUAAGUAAUGUGAAUUGCAGAAUUCAGUGAAUCAUCGAAUCUUUGAACGCACAUUGCGCCCGCCAGUAUUCUGGCGGGCAUGCCUGUCCGAGCGUCAUUUCAACCCUCGAACCCCUCCGGGGGAUCGGCGUUGGGGAUCGGGACCCCUCACACGGGUGCCGGCCCCUAAAUACAGUGGCGGUCUCGCCGCAGCCUCUCCUGCGCAGUAGUUUGCACAACUCGCACCGGGAGCGCGGCGCGUCCACGUCCGUAAAACACCCAACUUUCUGAAAUGUUGACCUCGGAUCAGGUAGGAAUACCCGCUGAACUUAAGCAUAUCA